Molecule: ribosomal RNA, 483 nt
Filed under: uncultured bacterium
Lineage: Bacteria
Description: partial 16S ribosomal RNA
Rfam family: Bacterial small subunit ribosomal RNA
Source: RNAcentral
AUUGAACGCUGGCGGCAGGCCUAACACAUGCAAGUCGAGCGGAUGAAGGGAGCUUGCUCCUGGAUUCAGCGGCGGACGGGUGAGUAAUGCCUAGGAAUCUGCCUGGUAGUGGGGGAUAACGUCCGGAAACGGGCGCUAAUACCGCAUACGUCCUGAGGGAGAAAGUGGGGGAUCUUCGGACCUCACGCUAUCAGAUGAGCCUAGGUCGGAUUAGCUAGUUGGUGGGGUAAAGGCCUACCAAGGCGACGAUCCGUAACUGGUCUGAGAGGAUGAUCAGUCACUGGGGAAGUGAGAAGCGGUCCAGACACCGACGGGGGGCAGCGGGGGGGAAUGUGGGAAGAUGGGGGAAAGCCUGACCAAGGCUGGGCGGGGGGGUGAAGAAGGUCUUCGGGUUGGAAAGCAUUUUAAGUGGGGGGGAAGGGGAGUAAGUUAAUCCCUGGGUGUUUGAACGUAACCAACAAAAAAGGCCCGGCUAAAUUUGGG